This 363-nucleotide ribosomal RNA is filed under the name Triticum aestivum (bread wheat). RNAcentral's name for it is "partial small subunit ribosomal RNA". Lineage: Eukaryota; Viridiplantae; Streptophyta; Magnoliopsida; Poales; Poaceae. The record is from RNAcentral.
AUGGCCACCCCUAAGACCAAGACGCCAGCCCUGAACGAGCGAAUCUUGUCCUCGAUCACGCACCGGUCCGUGGCGGCGCACCUGUGGCACGACCUAGAGAUCAUCCCCGACACGCCCACAAUCUUCAACUGCGUGAUCGAGAUCCCCCAGGGGAGCAAGGUGAAGUACGAUCUGGAAAAGAAGACGGGGCUCAUCAAGGUGGACCUGGUGCUCUACCCCUCUAUCAUCUACCCGAACAACUAUGACUUCAUCUCGCGCACCCUCUGCGAUGACUCCGACCCCAUUGACUUCCUCUUGAUCAUGUAGGAGCCCAUCGUCCCUGGAUGCUUCCUCAGGGCCAAGGCCAUCGGACUCAUGCCAUAA